AGGCAGCAGUGGGGAAUUUUGGACAAUGGGGGCAACCCUGAUCCAGCCAUUCCGCGUGAGUGAAGAAGGCCUUCGGGUUGUAAAGCUCUUUUGUUCGGGACGAAACGGUUAAGGUUAAUAACCUUGACUAAUGACGGUACCGGAAGAAUAAGCACCGGCUAACUACGUGCCAGCAGCCGCGGUAAUACGUAGGGUGCGAGCGUUAAUCGGAAUUACUGGGCGUAAAGCGUGCGCAGGCGGUNNNNNNAGCCAGAUGUGAAAUCCCCGGGCUUAACUUGGGUAUGGCAUUUGGGACUGUAAGGCUAGAGUAUGGCAGAGGAGACUAGAAUUCCUGGUGUAGCAGUGAAAUGCGUAGAUAUGUGGAGGAAUACCGAUGGCGAAGGCAGGUCUCUGGGUCAAUACUGACGCUCAUGCACGAAAGCGUGGGGAGCAAACAGGAUUAGAUACCCUGGUAGUCCACGCCCUAAACGAUGUCAACUGGUUGUUGGGGGAUUUAUUCUCUUAGUAACGAAGCUAACGCGUGAAGUUGACCGCCUGGGGAGUACGGUCGCAAGGUUAAAACUCAAAGGAAUUGACGGA
This 579-nucleotide ribosomal RNA is filed under the name uncultured bacterium. RNAcentral describes it as "bacterial SSU rRNA". It matches the Rfam family "Bacterial small subunit ribosomal RNA", at positions 346 to 917 of the family's 1533-position model. The record is from RNAcentral.